CCUACGGGAGGCAGCAGUGGGGAAUAUUGCGCAAUGGGCGAAAGCCUGACGCAGCGACGUCGCGUGAGGGAUGAAGGUCUUCGGAUCGUAAACCUCUGUCAGCAGGGAAGAACGGUCACUGUGCUAAUCAGCAGUGAAUUGACGGUGCCUGCAAAGGAAGCACCGGCUAACUCCGUGCCAGCAGCCGCGGUAAUACGGAGGGUGCGAGCGGUAAUCGGAAUUACUGGGCGUAAAGCGCUCGUAGGCGGUAUGUCAAGUCAAGGGUGAAAUCCCCGCGCUCAACGUGGGAACUGCCUUUGAAACUGGCAAACUUGAGUGUGUGAGAGGAUAGUGGAAUUCCAGGUGUAGGAGUGAAAUCCGUAGAUAUCUGGAGGAACAUCAGUGGCGAAGGCGACUAUCUGGCACAUAACUGACGCUGAGGAGCGAGAGCGUGGGUAGCAAACAGGAUUAGAUACCCGAGUAGUC
Molecule: ribosomal RNA, 465 nt
Filed under: uncultured bacterium
Lineage: Bacteria
Description: partial 16S ribosomal RNA
Rfam family: Bacterial small subunit ribosomal RNA
Source: RNAcentral